RNAcentral lists this ribosomal RNA (301 nucleotides) under uncultured bacterium. Its description in RNAcentral is "partial 16S ribosomal RNA". It matches the Rfam family "Bacterial small subunit ribosomal RNA", at positions 509 to 808 of the family's 1533-position model. The record is from RNAcentral.
CAGUCGCCGCGGUAACACGUAGGUCCCGAGCGUUGUCCGGAUUUAUUGGGCGUAAAGCGAGCGCAGGCGGUUAGAUAAGUCUGAGGUUAAAGGCUGUGGCUUAACCAUAGUACGCUUUGGAAACUGUUUAACUUGAGUGCAAGAGGGGAGAGUGGAAUUCCAUGUGUAGCGGUGAAAUGCGUAGAUAUAUGGAGGAACACCGGUGGCGAAAGCGGCUCUCUGGCUUGUAACUGACGCUGAGGCUCGAAAGCGUGGGGCGCAAACAGGAUUAGAUACCCCGGUAGUCCCUGUCUCUUAUACC